CACCAUGAGCGUCCCGGCCUUCAUCGACAUCAGUGAGGAAGAUCAGGCUGCUGAGCUUCGUGCUUAUCUGAAAUCUAAAGGAGCUGAGAUUUCAGAAGAGAACUCGGAAGGUGGACUUCAUGUUGAUUUAGCUCAAAUUAUUGAAGCCUGUGAUGUGUGUCUGAAGGAGGAUGAUAAAGAUGUUGAAAGUGUGAUGAACAGUGUGGUAUCCCUACUCUUGAUCCUGGAACCAGACAAGCAAGAAGCUUUGAUUGAAAGCCUAUGUGAAAAGCUGGUCAAAUUUCGCGAAGGUGAACGCCCGUCUCUGAGACUGCAGUUGUUAAGCAACCUUUUCCACGGGAUGGAUAAGAAUACUCCUGUAAGAUACACAGUGUAUUGCAGCCUUAUUAAAGUGGCAGCAUCUUGUGGGGCCAUCCAGUACAUCCCAACUGAGCUGGAUCAAGUUAGAAAAUGGAUUUCUGACUGGAAUCUCACCACUGAAAAAAAGCACACCCUUUUAAGACUACUUUAUGAGGCACUUGUGGAUUGUAAGAAGAGUGAUGCUGCUUCAAAAGUCAUGGUGGAAUUGCUCGGAAGUUACACAGAGGACAAUGCUUCCCAGGCUCGAGUUGAUGCCCACAGGUAAUGUUAAACGUUACUCUGAUGAGGGUUUGACAGCGAUGUAGAGGUAAGCUACAAUAUUAAAUUAAGUAACUGAAAUCAUGUUUGCAACUACCAGUGAUCCAGAGCCAUUUGAUAGUGUGUAUUUCCUGGUGAUUCUAAUGUAGAU
Molecule: small RNA, 769 nt
Filed under: Pan troglodytes (chimpanzee)
Lineage: Eukaryota; Metazoa; Chordata; Mammalia; Primates; Hominidae
Description: retained intron
Source: RNAcentral